AGCCUUUUGUUUUUUUAUAAUAGGUUUGUUCUGCUCAGUGUUUAUAAAUAGCCGCAGUAAUUUGACUGUGCAAAGGUAGCAUAAUCAUUUGCCUUAUAAUUGAGGGCUAGUAUGAAUGGAUUAACGAGAGUUUUUCUGUCUCUAAUUCAUAAUAAUAACUUGUAUUUAAUGUGAAGAUACAUUAAUUUUUUAGUGGGACAAGAAGACCCUUUUGAGCUUUAUUUAGAUUGUUUUUUUUUAGAAAAUUUUAAUUUGGUUGGGGCGACCUGUGAAGAUUAAAACUUUUAGAUCUUCUUUUGCUAAUAAAGAACCAUUAAUUUUGGGUUUUAGAUUAAGUUACCAAAGGGAUAACAGCGUAAUUUUUUUUUAGAGUUCUUAUUAAAAAAAAAGAUUGCGACCUCGAUGUUGACUUAUGAUUUCCUUUUGGUGCAGUAGCUUUUAGGGUAGGUCUGUUCGACCUUUAAAAUCUU
This 470-nucleotide ribosomal RNA is filed under the name Antarctonemertes valida. RNAcentral's name for it is "partial 16S ribosomal RNA". It matches the Rfam family "Bacterial large subunit ribosomal RNA", at positions 1829 to 2597 of the family's 2925-position model. Lineage: Eukaryota; Metazoa; Nemertea; Enopla; Monostilifera; Oerstediidae. The record is from RNAcentral.